CGGAGGAUCCAAGCGUUGUCCGGAUUUAUGGGUUUAAAGGGUGCGUAGCGGGUUAUUAAGUCAGUGGUGAAAGCCGGCAGCUCAACUGUCGAACUGCCAUUGAAACUGAUAGCCUAGAAUGCAGUAGAGGUAGGCGGAAUGUAUCAUGUAGCGGUGAAAUGCUUAGAUAUGAUACAGAACACCAAUUGCGAAAGCAGCUUACUAUGCUAUUAUUGACGCUGAGGCACGAAAGCGUGGGGAUCAAACAGGAUUAGAUACCCUGGUAGUCCACGCUGUAAACGUUGGAUACUAGCUGUUCGGAGCAAUCUGAGUGGCUAAGCGAAAGUGAUAAGUAUCCCACCUGGGGAGUACGUUCGCAAGAAUG
This 364-nucleotide ribosomal RNA is filed under the name uncultured organism. RNAcentral describes it as "bacterial SSU rRNA". It matches the Rfam family "Bacterial small subunit ribosomal RNA", at positions 526 to 896 of the family's 1533-position model. The record is from RNAcentral.